UGAGCUGCAAAAUGGGGUGGGAUAAUGG
Molecule: non-coding RNA, 28 nt
Filed under: Rattus norvegicus (Norway rat)
Lineage: Eukaryota; Metazoa; Chordata; Mammalia; Rodentia; Muridae
Source: RNAcentral